This is a long non-coding RNA of Syngnathus acus (greater pipefish), 313 nucleotides long. RefSeq lists it as uncharacterized. The record is from RefSeq and is a predicted model, not a curated record. The transcript has 2 exons. NCBI's taxonomy places the organism in Eukaryota, Metazoa, Chordata, Actinopteri, Syngnathiformes, Syngnathidae.
AUGAACACAGGUGUAAAAACCAUUGUGCGAUUUUUUUACUUAUGCAACAGAUAAUGAUUACAAAUCUAAAAACGCGAGUUUAUACAUAUAUAUCUUUUUUUUUUGUAAAUAUCUGUGGAUUAUUUUCUAAAGAAGAGUUUUGUUUGUCUUGCAUGACUGAAACUGCACCAGGAACCCUGAUCGAAUUAUAAAGCCUCAUCGUUGAUAACGUACCUGCGCUGGAGAAUGGCAGAAUAACGCCCGUGCCUGUGACUGCGCUUCCAUCGGCAGAGAAGAGGAACAAAAUGAAGGACGUUUGUCCCGGCAGGAGCGG